GUAGGGUGCAAGCGUUAUCCGGAAUUAUUGGGCGUAAAGCGUUCGUAGGCGGUUUGAAAAGUUUGUGGUUAAAUCCGGUCGCUCAACGAUCGAAUCGCUACAAAAACUAUCAGACUGGAGAGUGGCAGAGGCAACUAGAAUUCCACAUGUAGGGGUAAAAUCCGUUGAUAUGUGGAGGAAUACCAAAAGCGAAGGCAGGUUGCUGGGCCAUUUCUGACGCUUAGGAACGAAAGCGUGGGGAUCAAACAGGAUUAGAUACCCUGGUAGUCCACGCCUUAAACUAUGAAUACUAAGUGUCGGCAGUUUACUGCCGGUGCCGCAGCUAACGCAUUAAGUGCCCCGCCUGGGGAGUACGGCCGCAAGGUUA
This 367-nucleotide ribosomal RNA is filed under the name uncultured bacterium. Its description in RNAcentral is "bacterial SSU rRNA". It matches the Rfam family "Bacterial small subunit ribosomal RNA", at positions 527 to 896 of the family's 1533-position model. The record is from RNAcentral.